RNAcentral lists this ribosomal RNA (741 nucleotides) under Fusarium sp. ES10. RNAcentral describes it as "SSU rRNA". It matches the Rfam family "Eukaryotic small subunit ribosomal RNA", at positions 91 to 850 of the family's 1831-position model. Lineage: Eukaryota; Fungi; Ascomycota; Sordariomycetes; Hypocreales; Nectriaceae. The record is from RNAcentral.
GAAUGGCUCAUUAUAUAAGUUAUCGUUUAUUUGAUAGUACCUACUACUUGGAUAACCGUGGUAAUUCUAGAGCUAAUACAUGCUAAAAAUCCCGACGGAAGGGAUGUAUUUAUUAGAUUAAAAACCAAUGCCCUUCGGGGCUCACUGGUGAUUCAUGAUAACUCCUCGAAUCGCAUGGCCUUGUGCCGGCGAUGGUUCAUUCAAAUUUCUUCCCUAUCAACUUUCGAUGUUUGGGUAUUGGCCAAACAUGGUUGCAACGGGUAACGGAGGGUUAGGGCUCGACCCCGGAGAAGGAGCCUGAGAAACGGCUACUACAUCCAAGGAAGGCAGCAGGCGCGCAAAUUACCCAAUCCCGACACGGGGAGGUAGUGACAAUAAAUACUGAUACAGGGCUCUUUUGGGUCUUGUAAUUGGAAUGAGUACAAUUUAAAUCCCUUAACGAGGAACAAUUGGAGGGCAAGUCUGGUCCAGCAGCCGCGGUAAUUCCAGCUCCAAUAGCGUAUAUUAAAGUUGUUGUGGUUAAAAAGCUCGUAGUUGAACCUUGGGCCUGGCUGGCCGGUCCGCCUCACCGCGUGUACUGGUCCGGCCGGGCCUUCCCUCUGUGGAACCCCAUGCCCUUCACUGGGUGUGGGGGGAACAGGACUUUUACUGUGAAAAAAUUAGAGUGCUCCAGGCAGGCUAUGCUCGAAUACAUUAGCAUGGAAUAAUAGAAUAGGACGUGUGGUUCUAUUUUGUUGGUUU